CCUACGGGUGGCAGCAGUGGGGAAUAUUGGACAAUGGGCGAAAGCCUGAUCCAGCCAUGCCGCGUGUGUGAAGAAGGCCUUCGGGUUGUAAAGCACUUUCAGUGGGGAAGAAAGCCUUGGGGCUAAUACCCUCGAGGAAGGACAUCACCCACAGAAGAAGCACCGGCUAACUCCGUGCCAGCAGCCGCGGUAAUACGGAGGGUGCGAGCGUUAAUCGGAAUUACUGGGCGUAAAGCGCGCGUAGGCGGUCUGAUAAGCCGGUUGUGAAAGCCCCGGGCUCAACCUGGGCACGGCAUCCGGAACUGUCAGGCUAGAGUGCAGGAGAGGAAGGUAGAAUUCCCGGUGUAGCGGUGAAAUGCGUAGAGAUCGGGAGGAAUACCAGUGGCGAAGGCGGCCUUCUGGACUGACACUGACGCUGAGGUGCGAAAGCGUGGGUAGCAAACAGGAUUAGAUACCCCAGUAGUC
RNAcentral lists this ribosomal RNA (465 nucleotides) under Vreelandella stevensii. RNAcentral describes it as "partial 16S ribosomal RNA". It matches the Rfam family "Bacterial small subunit ribosomal RNA", at positions 338 to 795 of the family's 1533-position model. Lineage: Bacteria; Pseudomonadati; Pseudomonadota; Gammaproteobacteria; Oceanospirillales; Halomonadaceae. The record is from RNAcentral.